Molecule: ribosomal RNA, 497 nt
Filed under: uncultured bacterium
Lineage: Bacteria
Description: partial 16S ribosomal RNA
Rfam family: Bacterial small subunit ribosomal RNA
Source: RNAcentral
GAUGAACGCUGGCGGCGUGCCUAAUACAUGCAAGUCGAGCGAACAGACGAGGAGCUUGCUCCUCUGACGUUAGCGGCGGACGGGUGAGUAACACGUGGAUAACCUACCUAUAAGACUGGGAUAACUUCGGGAAACCGGAGCUAAUACCGGAUAAUAUAUUGAACCGCAUGGUUCAAUAGUGAAAGACGGUUUUGCUGUCACUUAUAGAUGGAUCCGCGCCGCAUUAGCUAGUUGGUAAGGUAACGGCUUACCAAGGCAACGAUGCGUAGCCGACCUGAGAGGGUGAUAGGCAACACUGGAACUGAGACACGGUCCAGACUCCUACGGGAGGCAGCAGUAGGGAAUCUUCCGCAAUGGGCGAAAGCCUGACGGAGCAACGCAGCGUGAGUGAUGAAGGUCUUCGGAUCGUAAAACUCUGUUAUUAGGGAAGAACAAAUGUGUAAGUAACUAUGCACGUCUUGACGGUACCUAAUCAGAAAGCCACGGCUAACUACGUG